CCUACGGGAGGCAGCAGUAGGGAAUAUUGCUCAAUGGGGGAAACCCUGAAGCAGCAACGCCGCGUGGAGGAUGAAGGUUUUCGGAUUGUAAACUCCUUUUGUUAGAGAAGAUAAUGACGGUAUCUAACGAAUAAGCACCGGCUAACUCCGUGCCAGCAGCCGCGGUAAUACGGAGGGUGCAAGCGUUACUCGGAAUCACUGGGCGUAAAGGGGGCGUAGGCUGGAUAGCAAGUCAGUUGUGAAAUCCUAUGGCUCAACCAUAGAACUGCAUUUGAAACUGUUGUACUAGAGUAUGGAAGAGGCAGGCGGAAUGCUUGGUGUAGCGGUAAAAUCCGUAGAGAUCAAGAAGAAUACUCAUUGCGAAGGCGACCUGCUAGAACAUAACUGACGCUGAUGCGCGAAAGCGUGGGGAGCAAACAGGAUUAGAUACCCCGGUAGUC
This 440-nucleotide ribosomal RNA is filed under the name uncultured bacterium. RNAcentral's name for it is "partial 16S ribosomal RNA". It matches the Rfam family "Bacterial small subunit ribosomal RNA", at positions 338 to 795 of the family's 1533-position model. The record is from RNAcentral.